UGUGGCCAUAUCACGUUGAAACAGUGGUUCCUGUAUGAUCACCAAAGUUAAGCAAUGUUGAGCCUGGUUAGUACUUAGAUGUGUGACUAUUUGGGAAUACCUAGUGUUGUAAG
Acanthosepion pharaonis is the source of this 113-nucleotide non-coding RNA. The record is from the annotation of a GenBank genome assembly. NCBI's taxonomy places the organism in Eukaryota, Metazoa, Mollusca, Cephalopoda, Sepiida, Sepiidae.